RNAcentral lists this ribosomal RNA (274 nucleotides) under uncultured bacterium. RNAcentral's name for it is "partial 16S ribosomal RNA". It matches the Rfam family "Bacterial small subunit ribosomal RNA", at positions 523 to 796 of the family's 1533-position model. The record is from RNAcentral.
AUACGGAGGGUGCAAGCGUUAAUCGGAAUUACUGGGCGUAAAGGGCGCGUAGGCGGUCUAUCAAGUCAGGUGUGAAAUCCCACGGCUCAACCGUGGAGGUGCAUCUGAAACUGAUAGACUUGAGUAUGGGAGAGGAAAGUGGAAUUCCCGGUGUAGAGGUGAAAUUCGUAGAUAUCGGGAGGAACACCAGUGGCGAAGGCGACUUUCUGGACCAAUACUGACGCUGAGGCGCGAAAGCGUGGGGAGCAAACAGGAUUAGAAACCCUUGUAGUCC